This 463-nucleotide ribosomal RNA is filed under the name uncultured bacterium. RNAcentral describes it as "bacterial SSU rRNA". It matches the Rfam family "Bacterial small subunit ribosomal RNA", at positions 29 to 486 of the family's 1533-position model. The record is from RNAcentral.
UUGAACGCUGGCGGCAUGCCUUACACAUGCAAGUCGAACGGCAGCACGGGAGCAAUCCUGGUGGCGAGUGGCGAACGGGUGAGUAAUACAUCGGAACGUGCCCAGUUGUGGGGGAUAGCUCGGCGAAAGCCGGAUUAAUACCGCAUACGACCUGAGGGUGAAAGCGGGGGAUCGCAAGACCUCGUGCAGUUGGAGCGGCCGAUGUCAGAUUAGCUAGUUGGUGGGGUAAAGGCCUACCAAGGCGACGAUCUGUAGCUGGUCUGAGAGGACGGCCAGCCACACUGGGACUGAGACACGGCCCAGACUCCUACGGGAGGCAGCAGUGGGGAAUUUUGGACAAUGGGCGCAAGCCUGAUCCAGCCAUGCCGCGUGCGGGAAGAAGGCCUUCGGGUUGUAAACCGCUUUUGUCUAGGGAAGAAACGGCCUGUGCUAAUACCACAGGUUAAUGACGGUACCUGAAGAA